This 433-nucleotide ribosomal RNA is filed under the name uncultured bacterium. Its description in RNAcentral is "partial 16S ribosomal RNA". It matches the Rfam family "Bacterial small subunit ribosomal RNA", at positions 29 to 507 of the family's 1533-position model. The record is from RNAcentral.
AACGAACGCUGGCGGCAGGCCUAACACAUGCAAGUCGAGCGAGGACCUCGGUUCUAGCGGCGGACGGGUGAGUAACGCGUGGGAAUGUGCCCUUCUCUACGGAAUAGCCCUGGGAAACUGGGAGUAAUACCGUAUACGCCCUAUUGGGGAAAGAUUUAUCGGAGAAGGAUCAGCCCGCGUUGGAUUAGGUAGUUGGUGGGGUAAUGGCCUACCAAGCCGACGAUCCAUAGCUGGUUUGAGAGGAUGAUCAGCCACACUGGGACUGAGACACGGCCCAGACUCCUACGGGAGGCAGCAGUGGGGAAUCUUAGACAAUGGGGGCAACCCUGAUCUAGCCAUGCCGCGUGAGUGAUGAAGGCCUUAGGGUUGUAAAGCUCUUUCAGCUGGGAAGAUAAUGACGGUACCAGCAGAAGAAGCCCCGGCUAACUCCGUG